RNAcentral lists this ribosomal RNA (457 nucleotides) under Aethomys chrysophilus (red rock rat). RNAcentral describes it as "partial 16S ribosomal RNA". It matches the Rfam family "Bacterial large subunit ribosomal RNA", at positions 1919 to 2550 of the family's 2925-position model. The record is from RNAcentral. Lineage: Eukaryota; Metazoa; Chordata; Mammalia; Rodentia; Muridae.
AAAGUUAAACGGCCGCGGUAUCCUGACCGUGCAAAGGUAGCAUAAUCACUUGUUCCUUAAUUAGGGACUAGUAUGAACGGCUAGACGAGGGAUCAACUGUCUCCUAUUCUCAAUCAGUGAAAUUGACCUUCCAGUGAAGAGGCUGGAAUAUAUAAAUAAGACGAGAAGACCCUAUGGAGCUUCAAUUAACUAGCUUAUUUUCAAAAAAAAAUAACCUAAUGGACUAAAAACGAAAACAUAAGCUAAAAAUUUCGGUUGGGGUGACCUCGGAGAAUAAAAAAACCUCCGAACGAUUUUAGCACAGACUAACAAGUCAAAGCAAUUAAUUUAUUCUUAUUGACCCAAAAUACUUUGAUCAACGGACCAAGUUACCCUAGGGAUAACAGCGCAAUCCUAUUUAAGAGUUCAUAUCGACAAUUAGGGUUUACGACCUCGAUGUUGGAUCAGGACAUCCCAA